AUGCACGCUGGCGGCGUGCCUCAUACAUGCCAGUCGCGCGAACAGACGAGGAGCUUGCUCCUCUGACGUUAGCGGCGGACGGGUGAGUAACACGUGGAUAACCUACCUAUAAGACUGGGAUAACUUCGGGAAACCGGAGCUAAUACCGGAUAAUAUAUUGAACCGCAUGGUUCAAUAGUGAAAGACGGUUUUGCUGUCACUUAUAGAUGGAUCCGCGCCGCAUUAGCUAGUUGGUAAGGUAACGGCUUACCAAGGCAACGAUGCGUAGCCGACCUGAGGGGGUGAUCGGCCACACUGGAACUGAGACACGGUCCAGACUCCUACGGGAGGCAGCAGUAGGGAAUCUUCCGCAAUGGGCGAAAGCCUGACGGAGCAACGCCGCGUGAGUGAUGAAGGUCUUCGGAUCGUAAAACUCUGUUAUUAGGGAAGAACAAAUGUGUAAGUAACUAUGCACGUCUUGACGGUACCUAAUCAGAAAGCCACGGCUAACUACGUG
RNAcentral lists this ribosomal RNA (496 nucleotides) under uncultured bacterium. RNAcentral describes it as "partial 16S ribosomal RNA". It matches the Rfam family "Bacterial small subunit ribosomal RNA", at positions 29 to 507 of the family's 1533-position model. The record is from RNAcentral.